This 393-nucleotide ribosomal RNA is filed under the name Oplophorus typus. Its description in RNAcentral is "partial 12S ribosomal RNA". The record is from RNAcentral. Lineage: Eukaryota; Metazoa; Arthropoda; Malacostraca; Decapoda; Oplophoridae.
UAAAUUAGGAUUAGAUACCCUAUUAUACUUUACUGAAAAUUAGAUAUGCUUGAGUAGUAAUCGGUUAUGAUCUUGAAACUUAAAGGAUUUGGCGGUAUUUUAGUCUAGUUAGGGGAACCUGUUUUAUAAACGAUAAACCACGAAGUAUCUUACCUUUCUUGGUUAUGUCAGUAUGUAUACCGUCAUUAUUAGAUGGUCUUUAUAAAGAGCCAUUAAAAUAGUUCUAUGUUAAAAUAUUAGAUCAAGGUGCAGCGGAUGGAGAGGAAAAUAAUGGGUUACAAUGUUGUUAAAAUAUACGGAUAUAUAAUUGAAUGUUGUAUAUGAAGGUGGACUUAAGUGUAAUUAUAUUUUAAUAAGGUAUAAUGAUAUUAGCUCUAUAAUAUGUACACAUCG